This 64-nucleotide transfer RNA is filed under the name Cerion uva. RNAcentral describes it as "tRNA-Leu". Lineage: Eukaryota; Metazoa; Mollusca; Gastropoda; Stylommatophora; Cerionidae. The record is from RNAcentral.
CUAUCAGUGGCAGAUUAUAUGCGUAAGACUUAAGAUCUUACCAAGAAGAUUACUUCCUGAUAAG